UCCCAGUUAGUACAAUGGUUAGUAUAGGGCACUCUCAUUUCGGGCGAUCUAGUCGACCAAGUUCAUCUGCUCAGAUCAGGGUUCGAUUCCCUGGCCGGGAA
Molecule: transfer RNA, 101 nt
Filed under: Mycosarcoma maydis (corn smut)
Lineage: Eukaryota; Fungi; Basidiomycota; Ustilaginomycetes; Ustilaginales
Description: tRNA-Glu for anticodon CUC
Rfam family: tRNA
About the family: Transfer RNA (tRNA) molecules are approximately 80 nucleotides in length. Their secondary structure includes four short double-helical elements and three loops (D, anti-codon, and T loops).
Source: RNAcentral